RNAcentral lists this unclassified non-coding RNA (539 nucleotides) under Alternaria altcampina. RNAcentral's name for it is "sequence contains 18S rRNA gene, ITS1, 5.8S rRNA gene, ITS2". The stretch from base 174 to 327 matches the Rfam family "5.8S ribosomal RNA". Lineage: Eukaryota; Fungi; Ascomycota; Dothideomycetes; Pleosporales; Pleosporaceae. The record is from RNAcentral.
CCCUCCAGCCGGGCACUGCUUCACGGCGUGCGCGGCUGGAGCCGGCCCUGCUGAAUUAUUCACCCGUGUCUUUUGCGUACUUCUUGUUUCCUGGGUGGGCUCGCCCGCCAUCAGGACCAACCAUAAACCUUUUUGUAAUAGCAAUCAGCGUCAGUAACAACGUAAUUAAUUACAACUUUCAACAACGGAUCUCUUGGUUCUGGCAUCGAUGAAGAACGCAGCGAAAUGCGAUACGUAGUGUGAAUUGCAGAAUUCAGUGAAUCAUCGAAUCUUUGAACGCACAUUGCGCCCUUUGGUAUUCCAAAGGGCAUGCCUGUUCGAGCGUCAUUUGUACCCUCAAGCUUUGCUUGGUGUUGGGCGUCUUUUGUCUCCAGCUCGCUGGAGACUCGCCUUAAAGUCAUUGGCAGCCGGCCUACUGGUUUCGGAGCGCAGCACAAGUCGCGCUCUUGCCCAGCCAAGGUCAGCGUCCAGCAAGCCUUUUUUCAACCUUUGACCUCGGAUCAGGUAGGGAUACCCGCUGAACUUAAGCAUAUCAAUAA